This 305-nucleotide ribosomal RNA is filed under the name uncultured bacterium. Its description in RNAcentral is "bacterial SSU rRNA". It matches the Rfam family "Bacterial small subunit ribosomal RNA", at positions 338 to 640 of the family's 1533-position model. The record is from RNAcentral.
CCUACGGGGCGCAGCAGUGAGGAAUAUUGGUCAAUGGUCGGGAGACUGAACCAGCCAAGCCGCGUGAGGGAGGAAGGUACAGAGUAUCGUAAACCUCUUUUGUCAGGGAACAAAGGCGGGGACGUGUCCCCGGAUGAGUGUACCUGAAGAAAAAGCAUCGGCUAACUCCGUGCCAGCAGCCGCGGUAAUACGUAGGGGGCAAGCGUUAUCCGGAUUUACUGGGUGUAAAGGGAGCGUAGACGGAAUUGCAAGUCUGAUGUGAAAAUCCGGGGCCCAACCCCGGAACUGCAUUGGAAACUGUAUUU